AUUGAACGCUGGCGGCAGGCCUAACACAUGCAAGUCGAACGGUAACAGGAAGCAGCUUGCUGCUUCGCUGACGAGUGGCGGACGGGUGAGUAAUGUCUGGGAAGCUGCCUGAUGGAGUGGGAUAACUACUGGAAACGGUAGCUAAUACCGCAUAAUGUCGCAAGACCAAAGAGGGGGACCUUCGGGCCUCUUGCCACCGGAUGUGCCCAGAUGGGAUUAGCUUGUUGGUGGGGUAACGGCUCACCAAGGCGACGAUCCCUAGCUGGUCUGAGAGGAUGACCAGCCACACUGGAACUGAGACACGGUCCAGACUCCUACGGGAGGCAGCAGUGGGGAAUAUUGCACAAUGGGCGCAAGCCUGAUGCAGCCAUGCCGCGUGUAUGAAGAAGGCCUUCGGGUUGUAAAGUACUUUCAGCGGGGAGGAAGGGAGUAAAGUUAAUACCUUUGCUCAUUGACGUUACCCGCAGAAGAAGCACCGGCUAACUCCGUG
Molecule: ribosomal RNA, 490 nt
Filed under: uncultured bacterium
Lineage: Bacteria
Description: partial 16S ribosomal RNA
Rfam family: Bacterial small subunit ribosomal RNA
Source: RNAcentral